CUUACGGGAGGCAGCAGUGGGGAAUCUUCCGCAAUGGACGAAAGUCUGGGAGCAACGCCGCGGAGUGAAGAAGGUUUUCGGAUCGUAAAACUCUUUUUCAGGGACGAAUGUGCAAUAUGUGAAUAAUGUGUUGUAAUGACGGUCCCGACAAGAAAGCCACGCUAACUACUGCCAGCAGCGCGGUAAU
This 187-nucleotide ribosomal RNA is filed under the name uncultured bacterium. Its description in RNAcentral is "partial 16S rRNA". It matches the Rfam family "Bacterial small subunit ribosomal RNA", at positions 338 to 524 of the family's 1533-position model. The record is from RNAcentral.